CGAAAACCUGAUCCAGCAAUGCCGCGUGAGUGAAGAAGGCCUUCGGGUUGUAAAGCUCUUUCAGUCGAGAAGAAAAGGUUGUGACUAAUAAUCACAAUUUAUGACGGUAUCGACAGAAGAAGCACCGGCUAACUACGUGCCAGCAGCCGCGGUAAUACGUAGGGUGCAAGCGUUAAUCGGAAUUACUGGGCGUAAAGGGUGCGCAGGCGGCUUUGUAAGUCAGAUGUGAAAUCCCCGGGCUUAACCUGGGAAUUGCGUUUGAAACUACAAAGCUAGAGU
Molecule: ribosomal RNA, 279 nt
Filed under: uncultured ammonia-oxidizing beta proteobacterium
Lineage: Bacteria; Pseudomonadati; Pseudomonadota; Betaproteobacteria
Description: partial 16S ribosomal RNA
Rfam family: Bacterial small subunit ribosomal RNA
Source: RNAcentral